Long non-coding RNA from Maylandia zebra (zebra mbuna), 264 nucleotides. RefSeq lists it as uncharacterized. The record is from RefSeq and is a predicted model, not a curated record. Lineage: Eukaryota; Metazoa; Chordata; Actinopteri; Cichliformes; Cichlidae.
CAUAUUAUAGGAUAUUCAAACUAUUUUUUUUCCUAAAACAAAAGCUUAAUUUUUAGGAGUUCGGGAGAACGGCCCAGGACCCUUUUCUUUAGAAACGGGCGCUUUUACAGCUGGAACUAGUCCUCUAACAGGCACAAGGGUUAACAAACUGAGCAGGAAAACAUUCAGACACCGCGACCACAGAGCCCAACCUUACAUCAGAGCCACGCCAGAGAACCGGGUGUGUGGAGAAGCAGGACCAUCCCGAAUAACGCACACUACAAG